Molecule: ribosomal RNA, 316 nt
Filed under: uncultured soil bacterium
Lineage: Bacteria
Description: bacterial SSU rRNA
Rfam family: Bacterial small subunit ribosomal RNA
Source: RNAcentral
AGAACGAACGCUGGCGGCAUGCCUAAUACAUGCAAGUCGAACGAACACUUCGGUGUUAGUGGCGCACGGGUGCGUAACGCGUGGGAAUCUGCCCUUGGGUUCGGAAUAACAGUUGGAAACGACUGCUAAUACCGGAUGAUAUCGAAAGAUCAAAGAUUUAUCGCCCAGGGAUGAGCCCGCGUAGGAUUAGCUAGUUGGUGAGGUAAAGGCUCACCAAGGCGACGAUCCUUAGCUGGUCUGAGAGGAUGAUCAGCCACACUGGGACUGAGACACGGCCCAGACCUCCUACGGGAGCAGCAGUAGGGAAUAGUUGGAC